RNAcentral lists this ribosomal RNA (468 nucleotides) under uncultured bacterium. Its description in RNAcentral is "partial 16S ribosomal RNA". It matches the Rfam family "Bacterial small subunit ribosomal RNA", at positions 28 to 507 of the family's 1533-position model. The record is from RNAcentral.
GACGAACGCUGGCGGCGUGCUUAACACAUGCAAGUCGAACGGAAAGACCCUGCUGUUGUGGCGCGCUCGAGUGGCGAACGGGUGAGUAACACGUGAGUAACCUGCCCUUGACUUUGGGAUAACUUCAGGAAACUGGGGCUCAUACCGGAUAGGAGCUCCUGCUGCAUGGUGGGGGUUGGAAAGUUUCGGCGGUUGGGGAUGGACUCGCGGCUUAUCGGCUUGUUGGGGGGGUAGUGGCUUACCAAGGCUUUGACGGGUAGCCGGCCUGAGAGGGUGACCGGCCACAUUGGGACUGGGAUACGGCCCAGACUCCUACGGGAGGCAGCAGUGGGGAAUAUUGCACAAUGGGCGGAAGCCUGAGGCAGCAACGCCGCGUGCGGGAUGACGGCCUUCGGGUGUUAAACCGCUUUCGCCUGUGACGAAGCGUGAGUGACGGUAAUGGGUAAAGAAGCACCGGCUAACUACGUG